Non-coding RNA from Schistosoma mansoni, 46 nucleotides. The record is from Rfam. Lineage: Eukaryota; Metazoa; Platyhelminthes; Trematoda; Strigeidida; Schistosomatidae.
GAACUGCUGAAGAGUCCCAUAAUAGGAUGAAGCGGCCGUCCAAUGC